ACCAAAUAAACAAAAUAGCCCUAACGACGUGAGUUCCAUUCCGUCCCCUUCCCUCUCGUCUCGGGCUCCGCCGCCUCCGAUUCGCGUCAAUCUCCUCGCAUCGCAGCCGCCGCCGCCGCUCUCCCAUUCUCUGCUAGGCUCUCGGUGGUCCUUAUCCCUUCACAGAUGGCGCAGCCCAGCGGGGCAGGCGGAGGCGGGGGAGGCCAGCGCGGCCGAAGCCGGGGCAGCGUAGGCCAGCGCGGCGGAGGCCGGGGUCCGCCCAGCGGAGGAGGCCUGCCCAGCGCCGGAGGAGGCCUGCCCAGCGCCGGAGGAGGCCUUCCGAGCGCCGGAGGUGGCCUUCCGAGCGGAGGAGGCCUGCCCGGCGGCGGCGGCGGCGGCGGUGGCGGUGGCGGCGGAGGUGCCGUCCUUCCGCUUCGUGUUAAGAAAAUGUUCUUUGAUAAAGAGGUAUCGGACAUCAGGCAGUUGAUGGUGAGCUAUGUGUUGCAGACGCCUCCACCUGUUCGUUUGGUAAGUGUGUCAGGGGAUGCUAGAGCUUAUCCCAAGCGGUCUCCUCGUGCAAGGUGGACUACGGAUUGUUUGGUGAAAUGGUUCUGCGAGUUGCAUCUUUUAGGAUAUUGCCUAGAUGGUGGUUUCAAUAGAGACUGUUUUGGAAUUGAUUACAUGGGCAACCUCAAAGGCAUGCAUGUACUGCUACAAUUGGUCAAACCGAUCGGUGCUACUGUGAAUGAGGUUACAAGAAAUAUGUCAGUGGUGGCGGCCAUCAUCAAGGAUGGCAUACAUUCAUCGCUUCAGCUACCAGAAGAUUUGGCCCUCCUUUUAGAUACUCUGAGGCAGUAUAACAUUGGAGACUCUUUGCUCGUGCAAACCCACUUCUGUCAUGAAGAGGAAGAUAACAAAGCGGCCUUGUUUGAUCGGAUGCAUAAGCGUCUCAAGGUUAUCGAGAAGACAGAUGCAGCAAAAUAUACAAGGAUUAUGCAAGCUAUACAACCUCCCGGUGCAAGUCUUUGGUUGGCAAGUGCAAUGGACAACACCCAUCCAUUGUUGUGUUCUCCGGUACGCUCCAUGGAACCGCCCUGCAACCAUCAACAUGGUUAACGUGGUACAGGCGUUCCUGACAACAAGAGUUCAAUAUGCUGAUAACAUAGAUGAUUUCUUCACCUGCCGGCGAAAUGGCCAAGCUCAUUUGGAGGCGGACUACUCUGUGGAUACCAUAGGACACAUCGAAGCUGCAAUAUUUGGGGCAGCAGCUGGGCUCAAGGAAUGGCACCAUUUGCAACACAGUGCAGCUGUAGCAAGAGCAGCAGCUCGGCCUGUAACAGCAGCAGUUCAGCCUGUACUGCCACUUGCUGCUCGAUUUCUGAAUCCAAUGCCACCAGCAAUAGCUUUGGUGAUUGCAGACACCUUACAUCAAUUUCUUCUGUUAAGGGUUCCAUUGUCUCCCAGUGAAGCAAAAGCAGGAGCAGUAGCAGCGGCUGAGUACCUUGUUAGGCAGCCCAACAUAAGACAAAGGAUCGCACAGGCUGGGUUGAUCCAAAAUGCAUUAGCAAGAGCGACAACAGCAGCCCAAGCUGUUCCUGUGGGUGGAGUCGCUCAAGCUAACAUUCCACUACAGAUGUUCGCUGCGGACAACGACAUUGAACACAUUUAUCAUGUUGUUGCGCCGAAACUCAUGGUACAGUUUCAGAUGGCAAUGUUUAGAGAACACGAGCCCUUCCGCCUAGGCAAGGACACCAGAAUCUAUCGCUUAGAUUGAUAAAAGGAGGCCCAUCAAGACACCGAAGACUGGUGAUGAAAGGAGAUGAACCUGUUGAUGAUGUUAAAGUGGCAUUUUUUGGUUGAUUGCAUGUUGCUAUUUGUGAGUGUUGCUUGGAUGUGAGACAUUGGUUCAGCAACAUAAUGAGAAAGAUUUGAUAGUGUUCUCCUCAUAAUGCGGGAUCCAACUGUUUCCUGUUUCAGGCACUAUUUUUUUUUGUGUUCCUUUCUGUGAUCAAUUGGUGGAGUAUUAUGCAAUGCCUUGCUGAUCUGUUCUUUCAGGAUGGUUGUUGGUCAGAUGCUUUAUUCCUCCAGCGAGAAAGUUGAUGAUUGCUGUUUUUAGAUCCCUGCCCCUCGGAGCUUCAGUUUGAUUGCUGUAGACAGCAAGAGAAGGCAUUCUUUGGCUCACCGCAAGAGUUCAUUGUCAACACUGAUAAUGGCUACAUCCUCUUGUAUGCUGAAAAAAAAGUUAAUGUGCUGAUGAUACCAUGUGAUUAGUUAUAUACUCCUACUUUUGCUUUCCUUCGAACACUUCCUUCGCCUGAUGAUAUAGAAUAUGCAGUGAGAAGUUAAAACUGGAAUAAGCUUCAGAUGUUAUGGUGCAAUCAAGGCUUGGUAAUAAUAAAACAAGUUUCCUGACGGGGCCCCUUUCAAAAAAGUUUCCUGAAGGGACUAUAGGAAGGUGCAGAGGCCCGCUAGUUUGUACUUUCUAUUUCUUUUAUUAUUUGGUUCUAUAUAUGCAUACGGUUUGUAUCAAAUUUUCCAGAAUAAUUGAUUGUUAAAAACCUCUGUCGUCAUAUGUAAAGAGAAUAUUAUAUCGGAAGCCUUUUGGCUUCAGGUAACAAUUUUAUUUCCAAGAAGAUAAAAAGCUUCUACCAA
RNA transcript from Panicum virgatum (switchgrass), 2631 nucleotides. RefSeq lists it as uncharacterized. Lineage: Eukaryota; Viridiplantae; Streptophyta; Magnoliopsida; Poales; Poaceae. The transcript is spliced from 3 exons. The record is from RefSeq and is a predicted model, not a curated record.